GCUGUUUAGAGUGAGGUGUAUGGAGUGAGGUGUGUGAUGUUUAGAGUGAGAUGUUUAGAGUGAGGUGUGAUGUUUAUAGUGAGGAGUGAGAUGUUUAGAGUGAGAUGUUUAGAGUGAGGUGUAUGGAGUGAGGUGUGAGAUGUUUAGAGUGAGAUGUUUAGAGUGAGAUGUGAUGUUUAGAGUGAGAUGUUUAGAGUGAGGUGUGAUGUUUGGAGUGAGAUGUUUGGAGUGAGAUGUUUAGAGUGAGGUGUUUAGAGUGAGGUGUUUAGAGUGAGGUGUGAUGUUUAGAGUGAGAUGUUUAGAGUGAGGUGUAUGGAGUGAGGUGUGAGAUGUUUAGAGUGAGAUGUUUAGAGUGAGGUGUGAUGUUUAGAGUGAGAUGUUUAGAGUGAGGUGUGAUGUUUGGAGUGAGAUGUUUAGAGUGAGGUGUAGAGUGAG
Molecule: long non-coding RNA, 435 nt
Organism: Ictalurus punctatus (channel catfish)
Lineage: Eukaryota; Metazoa; Chordata; Actinopteri; Siluriformes; Ictaluridae
Source: Ensembl